AACGAACGCUGGCGGCGUGCCUAACACAUGCAAGUCGUGCGAGAAAGUUCCUUCGGGAGCGAGUAAAGCGGCGCACGGGUGAGUAACACGUAGGUAACCUGCCCCCCAGUCUGGAACAACUAGAGGAAACUCUAGCUAAUGCCGGAUGAGACCACGAUCCCUUCGGGGUUGCGGCCAAAGAUGGCCUCUACUUGUAAGCUAUCGCUGAGGGAUGGGCCUGCGGGCCAUUAGCUGUUGGUGAGGUAACGGCUCACCAAGGCUGUGAUGGCUAGCUGGUCUGAGAGGAUGACCAGCCACACUGGGACUGAGACACGGCCCAGACUCCUACGGGAGGCAGCAGUGGGGAAUAUUGCGCAAU
Molecule: ribosomal RNA, 358 nt
Filed under: uncultured bacterium
Lineage: Bacteria
Description: bacterial SSU rRNA
Rfam family: Bacterial small subunit ribosomal RNA
Source: RNAcentral